RNAcentral lists this ribosomal RNA (252 nucleotides) under uncultured bacterium. RNAcentral describes it as "partial 16S ribosomal RNA". It matches the Rfam family "Bacterial small subunit ribosomal RNA", at positions 524 to 776 of the family's 1533-position model. The record is from RNAcentral.
UACGAAGGGGGCGAGCGUUGUUCGGAUUUACUGGGCGUAAAGGGCGCGCAGGCGGCGCAUUUUGUCAGGCGUGAAAGCCCCGGGCUUAACCUGGGACUGCGUUUGAUACGGAUGGGCUAGAGUUCGGGAGAGGAGAGUGGAAUUCCCAGUGUAGCGGUGAAAUGCGUAGAUAUUGGGAGGAACACCAGUGGCGAAGGCGGCUCACUGGACCGGAACUGACGCUGAGGCGCGAAAGCGUGGGGAGCAAACGGG